UACGUAGGGGGCAAGCGUUGUCCGGAAUCAUUGGGCGUAAAGCGCGCGUAGGCGGCCCGGUAAGUCCGCUCUGAAAGCCCAGGGCUCAACCCUGGAAGUGCACUCGAAACUGGUCGGCUUGAAUAUGGAAGAGGGUCGCGGAAUUCCCGGUGUAGAGGUGAAAUUCGUAGAUAUCGGGAGGAACACCAGUGGCGAAGGCGGCGACCUGGGCCAAUAUUGACGCUGAGGUGCGAAAGCGUGGGGAGCAAACAGG
Molecule: ribosomal RNA, 253 nt
Filed under: uncultured bacterium
Lineage: Bacteria
Description: partial 16S ribosomal RNA
Rfam family: Bacterial small subunit ribosomal RNA
Source: RNAcentral